CAUCAGCUCCCGGGGCUCUGCUGCGGCGGCUGCUGCUCGAUGUGGGAUCUGAAGAAAUUUUUGUAAAAGGACUUCUUCACGGUUUUGGAAGCGGAGUUAACAGUAUUAACCCCAUUGGUAAAACACUAAUUUUGAGAAGAGUUCUUACUAGGAGCUAGAGAAGAAAAAUGAAGAAAAAGGCAUCUGCUACAAAUACUACCAUCAACAGAAACGUUACCUGUCUAGCCCAGCUGUGACGUUCUUUCCCCGAUUUAUACAGCUUACAUCUUUCUGUGACUAUUCCUGUACUAGAACUGUAUGUACUGGCACGUCUUUUCGUGGAAAAUCGCUAAUUAAUGGCAAAGGAAGAAAAGUAGAAUUCUCUAUCAGCUCAGAUUCCCUCUCAUUCUUGUCUUUAAAUUAAGUUUCCAGAAGUUGUGAUUGUGCAGAAGUAUUUCAUACAUAGUUUAAGAGUUACUAACGUAGCACAUCUACCUUUACUAGCAGUGAGCUUGAACUAGCACAACUGCAGUGUAACUGCUCUGUUCAUUUUCAUUGUCACUAUGAUCUAAAAUCUCAGUUGGCACUUCAGAUGUGAACGUUAAUAGCUGCAUUAUUCAAAACCUUUAAGAAAGUUCGGAUUAUCUCAUCUCAGAAAGUUCUUUAAUAAUAUAUUAACUAUGGAGAGUUCUUAGCAGCAGGAUUCCACUUGUCUUAGUGAUGAGCAUGAUUUGCAGGAGUUUGAGAAAAACUUUUCUUAAAUGAUCUUUAUUCCAUGCUGGUGCAACGUGACUACCAAAGAAACAAACAAGUAACAGCAGUUGAAGCAAAAACACUAGAUGGUGUUCACUUACUUGAUAAUCUACCUUUAUCCAUUCUUUAAAAAAUGGGGGUUUUAACCACUACUGUGUCACAAUCUUUACGAUAUUUUAGUCACCCUGACCCAUCUACUUAUUUUAGACAUGCCUUGUUAGCAGUAGAACUUCUGUCUCAGAAUAUCACUUUAUAGUUAUCAAUAGUUAGCAGCAGGAGCAGAGAGUCAAACACAUUAUUGCUGGCUAUUAGCAUUUAAAUCCAUUAUGAUGCAGACAACAAGAGAAAUGAUAGACGUCAUAAUGCUUGUAACACCACAAUCUACUUGUAGCCUGCUCCACCCUAAGACUCUUCCCAGUCCAUAUUGGUAAAGCUAUACAGAUAACAGAAAUGAUAGAAGACUUGAAAGAAAAUUCCAGGGUCAGUAGAUCUGAGUGGAAUCCAUGGUCUGAGAGAGACAAUCCUCUUUACUUUCUUCUUCCUAUCCAUGCUCAUCAAAUAGGUAAGGUAAUUUCAAAUGAUUCUACUAUGCACUAUAAACUUGAGGGGGAGCAAGGAGUACAAAAAUAACCUCCCUGCACAAUAUGACCUCCCUUCUGACUUCAGGAGUUCAUGGUCCCUAAAAUAAGAGGUAACAGCCUCCCCAGGCUCAUUGCCAGGCGUCUUUAGAUCAGAGGCUGCUGGUCCUACUGACUGGUGCCAAAUUAUGUGUGAUGGUUUUCCUGAUGUACUCAACUGUCUGCUAGGGACUGAGCCGAGACCACGAAACUAAUUUCAUGUAGGAGUUCAGGUUUAAGUCAUUUUUAAACCACAUUAACAUAUUUCAUAUAUUUUCUCUCCAGGAAAAAAAAAUCCCUUGAGAGGCCAAAGCAGAAUAGUUUCUAUAACAUAAGGUAAUCUUAAAUAUGAAAGAUGUAGGAUCUGCCUAUGACUUGCCGUCAAUUACAGAAUUUAUCCCAUAGCCGAUGAAACAAGUUUAAUAAACCACUUAAGUGUUAUAAGGUAUGCUUCCUACCAACAUGAAUUAUGUAUCUAUCUGCAGCCAAAUGUACGUGUUCUAUCGCUCUGAAUAUUAAAUACAGAAACUAUGUUUAAAUAAUGUGAAGGGUCUGAUUUAAAGCAACAAAAGCCAAUAAAUUCAAAGUUUA
Gymnogyps californianus (California condor) is the source of this 1940-nucleotide long non-coding RNA. RefSeq lists it as uncharacterized. The record is from RefSeq and is a predicted model, not a curated record. The transcript is spliced from 3 exons. NCBI's taxonomy places the organism in Eukaryota, Metazoa, Chordata, Aves, Accipitriformes, Cathartidae.